GUCUAGUGGCGCACGGGUAGUACACGUGAGCANUCUGCCGUGAAGUGGGGGGAGCGCGCCGAAAUGCGAAUUAUACCGCAUGUGGUGGCAACACCAAAGCAGCAAUGCGCUUCAGGAUGGGCUCGCGGCCUAUCAGCUUGUUGGUGAGGUAACGGCUCACCAAUGCAGUGACGGGUAACUGGUUUGAGAGGAUGAUCAGUCACACUGGAACUGAGACACGGUCCAGACACCUAGGGGUGGCAGCAGUCNAAAAUCAUUCGCAAUGGGGGAAACCCUGACGAUGCGACGCCGCGUGGAGGAUGACGGCCCUCGGGUUGUAAACUCCUGUCAUGAGGGAGCAAAUCCCGCUUUCGCGGGACUGAUAGUACCUCAAGAGGAAGGAACGGCAAACUCUGUGCCAGCAGCCGCGGUAAUACAGAGGUUCCAAGCGUUGUUCGGAUUCAUUGGGCGUAAAGGGUGCGUAGGCGGCUUGGUAAGUCAAAUGUGAAAUUGCGGGGCUCAACCCCGUACGGCAUUCGAUACUGCCAUGCUAGAGGACUGGAGAGGAGACUGGAAUUCACGGUGUCGCAGUGAAAUGCGUAGCGAUCGUGAGGAAGAC
RNAcentral lists this ribosomal RNA (598 nucleotides) under uncultured organism. Its description in RNAcentral is "bacterial SSU rRNA". It matches the Rfam family "Bacterial small subunit ribosomal RNA", at positions 90 to 709 of the family's 1533-position model. The record is from RNAcentral.